Oryzias sinensis (Chinese medaka) is the source of this 3292-nucleotide long non-coding RNA. Lineage: Eukaryota; Metazoa; Chordata; Actinopteri; Beloniformes; Adrianichthyidae. The record is from Ensembl.
AUGAGAGCAGAAGACUCCCAGACGGAUUGGUUCACGCGCUUAUUUGUCACUUUUUAUUUGGGAAUAUUACAUUUUCGGGAGAGCAAAGGAUGCUGCAGUGGAAAUCAAUACAGUCCCCAGAUGUUGGGGUCUCCUGGUCCCUCGAUGCAGAGAUGUUCCGCAGUGUCUGAUUGCACGAGGGAGAUGGCUGGAAACAGAAAGGCUUCUUUGACUGAAAGCGUGGUGACCAUGGGGGAGGAAACCGAGCCCUCUGUGAGAGGAAGAGUCUCCUUAGCAACAGCAAGAAAAUUAACAUUGACAUCCUGACUUCCCAGCAAAACUCUUCUCAGGGCUUCUGCUGGAUAUUUCCAUGAGGAGAGUAUUAAAAAAAAAGUUCAAAUGCUGAUAUGAAGGCACACACUCCCCGCUUGUCUUCCAUUUAUAUUGAAAUGAGCUCUCCUCUCUUCUCUGUUUGUGUGCAGUGAAUACAGAGAGUCCUAAUAUAUGUAUUUUGCUCAUUUUACUGUGUGCGCUGUUUCCGCGCCUCUCCUCUGUAACUCUGUGUUUGCCUCCCGCUGUGGUAAACACAACACAGCCAUGAUAACACAUGCAUUUCAGAAAGCUCAAAACACUGUAGAGGAGCCGAAACAUUCUCAGUUUCUUCCCCUCUCCCUCCCUUUCAGCCAAGGCAUUCAGCUCCCAUGACUGCAAACAUGCAUAAUGACAGCAUCUCCCGGGGGCCAGCGGAGGUACCCCACUGAUGUCGAGACACUCUAUCCUGUCGUCACAUCGGCAGUGCAAGCCAGAGCCUGGUGAGCUUUGGCAAAGCCCUACCAGAAGCUGGGCUGGGUUUUUUUUCCCCGUUAAUAAAAUGAAGUGCAAAUUGGACCAGGCUUUUUGGAGCAGCUCACUGCUUCCUCCCAUUACGAGGCCAGGGCGAGCGCCAUGGAAGCAUAAGCGUGAAUACAUUAUAAAGUAAUGAGGAAACAUCCAGGAGAGGGUCAUGGGGGGCCUCGAGCUGCUCCAGGUCCCUUCCGAAGAGCUUUCAGUGUGCUCCGUGAUAGAUUAGUCAUUCACGUUUGAAGAGCCAGCGAGAGGUUGAGUUCAACAACAUUACACAUAGCAACAGUUGCUAAGAGUUGCAGCCAGGGAGGCCCGUUCAUUUAUAUGUACAGUUGCUGCGGAGCAGGAAUAUAGGUGAAAAAGGAUGGAGCUGUUUUUUUGUAUCGCUGUUGAUGACGGUGACAUUUCCAACAAUGCAGAACAAUAUUCUCCAACACAGAGAAAGUGGUUGGAACCAUGGAGGAGAAAGUAAUCAUAUCAAAGCACCACAAGAGAGACGAAAUGCCACUGAUAUUUGUCAAAAUUACAUCAGUGGAUACGGCUGGAUUAAAAACUCCUGCUGUUGCUGAAAAAUCAACGGCAAAAGGAAUGAUUAAAGCAGCUCACAUGUGAGUGACAGGACUGCAUCACAAACAGGCUCUACGCGUUCCCUUCAGGGUGGGACAGGUGGGUGGCAGCCAGGUUAAGCCUGAUACUUUCCAGUCAUUCUCAGGGCAAACGCCCUUGGUCACCGAUGAGGCCACGACAAGUUGCCUGAUGGAACGCCAUGGCAACAGCCCACACCUGCCAAGAGUUCCCCCCCAUCUCUAUGGUGGCCCUGAAGUGCAAAUCACAUCAACAAAUCACUCAAGGGAAACCAAAGGAAACCAAAACACAACACCCCCCCUAAAAAAAAAGAAAGAAAGAAAAAAUGAAUGUUUGGGAAAAGUAAUUUCCUGAAAUAAAAAUAAAAUGUCAAAAAAUUAAACACAGUGAUAAAUCAGACAAGGUAGGUACUAAGGUACUAUAAGAAUUCCUUAUUGGAUGAUGACGUUUGUCCAUUAUUUUAACUCAAAGUUAUUUAGCAUGAAGUGAUACUGCAGCUCUGUACUAAUAAAACUUUUAUUGUAUAUGUUUACAUUGAAGACGCAUUAGGAAAGGCUCAAACGUCAUAAUCUAAUCAGUGAUGUCCCACAGUGAUGUCCUGGUUUUCCUUUUUUUUAAAUAGUGUUUUUUUGUUUCUGGAUUUUGUUUUGAUUUCUGAAAAAUAAUGUUUUCUUUCUCAUUUGUUUUGCUCUUUUGAUUGUCAUUGCGAUGUUUAGUAUGUUUUUGCAUUGAGUAAAUUGUUGAUAGUAUUUGAACUUCAGGGCCACCGUACAUCUCCCCUCCUGUACCCCCUCUCCUCCUCAGUCACUUCUACAUGUUUCCUGAAAGACAACCUCUGUGAACAAAUUCUGGGUGCAUGCCACUGCCACUCUAAAUAAAGGGCAAUUUUUGGGUUGUGUCUCCUUGUGCCCCCUCCUUUCUUUACUCUUUUAAUAUUUUUGCAUAAAAAAACAUUUGCUAACAUUUUUUCCUCUCUUUCUGCAGGGUGACUCACAUAAAACAGUGAGGAAUAAAAAAACUUUGGGUGGGAAAGACAAGCGAACAUUUUCCUUUGUCAUUUUUCAGCUCCAGUUUUUCAGUUGUUAAACCAAAGCGUUGAAUAAAUCCUCUGUUGAGAGCUUCAACUCAGCUGUGUUAUCAAUUAAUCAAAUUAAUCAAGACUGGAGGAAGUUCUGCAGGAUCCAGCCGACUAAGAGGCUGCAUAAAUGUUCAAGUGAACUGCUGCUUGAUGGAAACCCCACAAGUAAUAAUCACAAAGAACAAACACAGCAAUGAUGGAAGAUCCUGCAGAGCUGCUUCAGGUUUCCCUGCGCUUACAUUAAGUUCCAGUGUUUGCUAUGUUAAAAAUUCAGUUUAACAUUCAUGGAAUCAAAAAGACAAAUGUUUUUAGCCUGACGAUUACAUGGAGCGGUGUCUGUGUGGAUCUCAUUCACAGUGCAUGAAGGAUGCUGUUAAGAGAUCAGGUUUAUUUAUUUUAAAAAGAAAGGAAAGAAAAUGGGUAGAGGUUCAGGAGGAGAGCUAUCGGAUCCAUCCACCAUAUUGCAUCUGUAUUCUACCCGCUGAUCAAGUCACCGAAAACGUCACGUGACCAAAGUUGAGUCCCUGUUGAUGCAACGACCUCGACAAAGUUGAAAUUUUUGAUCUCUAGCCGUGCCACAUAAAUUGCCCUGCUGCCAGACUGCCGCUCCAUACCCAUCAAUUAAUUUGCACCACAGUGCCUCAGGUGGUUUCUGUACCAUUGACUCAGCAUUGAAACUGGUCGCGGGAAUCGCCUUCGGUAUGAACGCAGCUUAACAUUUGUUUUAGUGGAAUCUGUCUUUUUGUAUGUCACAACCAAGGCUCGGAGGUUACAGGUAUUGUAAAUAUUGCUGUUUUUUGUGCCACA